Molecule: unclassified non-coding RNA, 4698 nt
Filed under: Hevea brasiliensis (rubber tree)
Lineage: Eukaryota; Viridiplantae; Streptophyta; Magnoliopsida; Malpighiales; Euphorbiaceae
Source: RNAcentral
GAGAGAGAGCUCUUCUGCUACCCGCAGGUGGUUGCUUCUUGCAGAAGGAUCUCUGUGAAUUUUUUUUUCCUAUUGCCUGUUGAUAUAAAAGAAUAGUUAUAAAGAAAAGAAGAAAUUGCAGAUUUCAAUAACAAUAUUAAAAAAAAAAAAAAUGAAGGGGUUUCGUGGAGAGAACCUUAUGUAGAGCCCCUAAAUUCCCCUAUUAGAUUCCAUCUUCUCUUAACGUGAUUGCUAUCUAUUGCUUUGAUUUAUCCAGUUCAAAAUUCUCAGAAGAAAAAUUCGCUUCUUUGGUCUCAGAAUUUUUUUUUUCUUUUGAUCGCCCCGUAGCUGUUUUUGUUCGUUUUAGGUUUUGUUCUGAGCAUCGUGGGAGCACGAUUGGGGCUUUUUUGGGUGUAAUCAUUGGUGGGUAAUUUGGGAUUCGGUCACACCUUCGUGAUUUUGACGUUGGGUCGGUGAUGCUUAGGGUUUUCAACAAAUAUUUUGGUGGUUCUGUUGUGAACGGGUGGCUUUUGAUGAGUCGCGCUGUGGAUUUUUGCUAAAUUUGGGUAUUUUGGAGGAUUUGGGUGUAAAGUCUUAGGUUUUUGGAUAAAAUCUCUGGAGGGUGUGGUUUGGGAGGGGGCAUUCCUUUUUUUUUUUCAGAUUCUUGUGGUCAGUCGAUAACUACUGGUGUUCUGUCGAUUCAAUUCUUGGUGUGUUUACGGAAUAUUGGAUGUUUCGGCAGAUUUCUGUAGUGGGGUGGUGAAAAAUCAAGGAUUAAAGCUCUAAAGAGGGGUAAUCCUCCCAUUUGGUUUUAACUCGGAGUUUAUCACGAUUGAUUGAAUUGUUUCGACCAUAUCUUUGGGUUCGAUAGGCCUUGUGUGGGGUUGUAACUAAAAUUCUGCUGUAGGGGUGGUGAAUUUUUUAUUCUCUUGUAUUUUGUGGUGGGCAAUUCUGCAUCUAAGGAUAAGAUGAGUUCAAGCGUUACUGAAGGUUCGGUUCAUGAGGGUAAGCUUCUAGUCCACAUAGCAGAAAAUGGCCACUCCUUUGAGCUUGAUUGUGAUGAAGCAACCCCUGUGGAGGCAGUUAUGCGGUAUAUUGAAUCAGUCGCAGGGAUUAAUUUCAAUGAACAGCUUGUUUUGUGUUUGGAUAUGAAACUCGAAUCCCAGCGGCCUCUUUCUGCUUAUAAGCUUCCAUCCAGUGAUGGAGAUGUGUUUAUAUUCAAUAAAGCUAGGCUCCAAAAUAGUUCCCCUCCCCCUCUACCUGAGCAAUUUGAUAUUCUUGAAGUUGCAGAUCCUCCACCACCAGCAUGUCCACAUGAUCCCCACCCCUUAGACGACGCAUUGGACCCCGCUUUGAAGGCUUUGCCUUCUUAUGAGAGACAAUUUAGGUACCAUUACCAUAGGGGUCAUGCGAUAUACAGUAGAACUCAUGUGAAGUAUGAGCAUUGUGAGAGGUUAUUGAGGGAGCAGAAGGUGCAGGAGAGAGCAGUUGAGGUUGCUAGGGGUAAUUUGGAUCAAUAUUAUAGGAUGAUUAGUCAGAAUUACUCAGAAUUCAUGAAGCGCUAUAGGCAGCAGCACAGGAUGCAUUCUGAACUCCUAAUGAAUUACAGGAGGGAUUUAGAAAAACUGAGGUCUACCAAGCUUCAUCCAGCUUUACAGACCACUACACAGAAGUGUUUAGUGGAUUUUGUGAAGGAAGAAAACCUGAGGAAAGCUGUCGAGAACUGUAGCAACUCCCAUAGACAGUUUGAGAAGAAGGUUUCGGAGUUUAAGCAGACGUUUAGUGACGUAAAGCGCAAGGUGGGGGAGUUAUUUGCUUGCAGGACUCCCUUUCCUCUUAGGAAUUUAGAGCUAGCCAUCAAGGAGCGUAAGCGAUUCAUCAAUGAACAGAAGAGUAUAAUGCAAUCUUUAAGCAAAGAUGUAAAUACGGUAAAGAAACUUGUGGAUGAUUGUCUGUCCUGCCAAUUGUCCUCCUCACUGCGCCCUCACGAUGCAGUUUCAGCCCUGGGUCCCAUGUAUGAUGUACAUGACAAGAAUCAUUUGCCUAAGAUGGAGGCUUGUGGUUGUUCAAUUACCAAACUUCUUGAGUUCUGCAAGGAUAAGAAGAAUGAGAUGAACAUCUUUGUGCACAAUUACAUGCAAAAAAUAGCAUAUAUUUCUUAUAAAAUUAAAGAUGCUAAGUUCCAGUUUCCAGUUUUUAGAGAAGCAAUGGUGCGCCAGGAUGAUCUGUUUACUGAACUGAAGCUGGUUCGAGGGAUUGGUCCUGCAUAUAGAGCUUGCCUUGCAGAAGUGGUAAGAAGAAAGGCCUCCAUGAAACUUUACAUGGGCAUGGCUGGACAGUUGGCUGAAAGGCUUGCUACCAAGAGGGAGACUGAGGUUAGGAGACGGGAAGAGUUUCGAAAAGCACAUAGUUCAUAUAUACCAAGGGAUAUAUUAGAUUCAAUGGGCUUGUAUGAUAUUCCAAGCCAGUGUGACGUCAAUAUUGCUCCUUUUGACGCAAAUUUGCUUAAUAUUGAUAUCUCAGACCUGGACCAUUAUGCGCCUGAGUAUUUAGUGGGACUACCUUUAAAGAGUGAGAAGCAUGCAAGCUUGAAAGGCUCAUUUUCCAUGUCUAAUGACAGUUCUCAUUCUGCUGAGGGGGAAGAGAUGGUUGCAGACACUCUUGACAAAGACUAUUCUGAGGAGCUUCUUGAAGGCAGUGAGUUGGUAGAGAUUGCUGGAACUAGCAAGCUGGAAGUUGAGAAUGCAAAACUGAAAGCUGAACUUGCUUCUGCAAAAGCGCUUAUAUGUACCCUCAGCCUUGAAUAUGAGUCAGUGGAUGAUGAAAAAGUGGAUAGUUUGUUGAAGAAUGCUGCAGAGAAGACAGCUGAAGCCUUGCAGCUGAAAGAUGAGCAUGGGAAGCAUCUCCAAUCUAUGCUUAAGGCAAAGCAACUGCAAUGUCUGUCAUAUGAGAAGCGUAUCCAAGAAUUAGAGCAGAGAUUGUCUGAUCAGUUUCUGCAGGAGCAAAAACUUUCAAGCAGCAAUGUUGCAUCUGAUUUUGACCUUCCAGCUGCAAAGGCUGAUGACAGCAAACCGCAAAUCCAUGGUGAUAUGCAAGCCCAUGUGCCUUAUAUAUCAACUUCAGAGCCCAUGGAUGAGGUUUCUUGUAUUUCUAGUUCUUUGGAUGCAAAACUAGGACUUUUCACAAGGCAACCAAGUAAAGUUCGAGAUGGGGGUGACGAAAAUAUGAUGGAUACCUCUGGAAUGCUAAAUACUCAGUUGGAUUCUCUAAUGAUGGAGCCACAUCGUGAAGAACUGCAAGUUGCUGAUAAAGAUGGGAAAGAUAAAAUGGUGAGACAAAUGGGCAUGUCAUUGGCAAGCAGUUCCACAGCUGAGAGUAUGCCUGAAGCUGUAAAUGUGUUACCUACUGAUGCUGCAGUUGAUCCUAAGAUCACUUGUGAUAUUGUGUUGGAAUUGCAAAGUGCACUUGUAGAAAAAUCAAAUCAAUUGAGUGAAACUGAAUCCAAGCUCCAAGCUGCUAUGGAGGAUGUUGCAGUACUUACUAGGGAAUUGGAAAUGAGUCGGAAGCUUCUUGAUGAAUCUCAGAUGAAUUGUGCUCACUUGGAGAAUUGUUUGCAUGAAGCAAGAGAGGAAGCCCAAACCCAUCUUUGUGCAGCUGAUCGGAGGGCCUCAGAGUAUAGUGCCCUGCGUGCAUCUGCUGUGAAAAUGCGUGGCCUUUUUGAAAGACUUAGGAACUGUAUAUAUGGCCCGAGUGGAGUUGCUGGUUUUGCUGAUUCCUUGCGUGCGUUAGCUCAAUCUUUGGGCAAUUCCAUUAAUGACAAUGAAGAUGAUGGUACUGCUGAGUUUCGAAAAUGCAUCCGGGUUCUUGCAGAUAGAGUUGGUUUCUUGUCUAGGCAUCGCGAGGAGCUGCUUGACAAGUACCCAAAACUGGAAGCUGCAAAUGAACAGCUUAAAAAGGAGUUGGAAGAAAAGAAGGAGCUGGUUGCCACUUUAUAUAAAAAGCAUCAACUUGAGAAGCAGGCAAACAAAGAAAGGAUAUCUUUCGGGCGGUUGGAAGGUCAUGAGAUAGCUGCAUUUGUUCUCAAUUCAGCUGGGCAUUAUGAGGCAAUCAACCGAAAUGGUUCUAACUACUAUUUGUCUUCUGAAUCUGUGGCGUUGUUUACUGAUCAUCUUCCAAGGCGUCCCAGCUACAUUGUUGGGCAGAUUGUGCAUAUUGAACGCCAGAUUGCGAAGCCAUUGCCUCCUAGCGCAGCCAGGCCUGAGCAUGGUAGGGCAGAUCAAGUGGAUCAUCUUACUUGUGACACAGGAACUGAUCAAUUGACCCUGAAUUUGGGAUCAACCUCAAAUCCAUUCAGUCUUCCCAUUGGUUGUGAAUACUUCGUAGUGACAGUAGCUAUGUUACCUGAUACCACCAUUCGUUCACUACCUCCUUCCUGAUCCCUGCUUCAGGCAGAUAAGACGUGAUGGAAGAAAUCAAGUGUAUAUAUAUAUAAUUAUAUAUAAAUAUUGGAAAAAAUGAUGGAAAGCAAACUUCUCUUUCUUUUUGUACAGUUGAUCAUCCAAUUACGUUUAAUCUUUCCUUUGUGUAUAAAGCUACUCUAUUUAACCAUGUAAAAAAAUGUGAAUAUUUUAUCAAUCUCUUGAAUUUUAAUCGAUCUUGCUCGUUAACUUGCUUCAACUUGAGUUGAUGGAAGAGAGUUUUUAGCCCAUUCACCAAAAG